RNAcentral lists this ribosomal RNA (465 nucleotides) under Vreelandella stevensii. RNAcentral describes it as "partial 16S ribosomal RNA". It matches the Rfam family "Bacterial small subunit ribosomal RNA", at positions 338 to 795 of the family's 1533-position model. Lineage: Bacteria; Pseudomonadati; Pseudomonadota; Gammaproteobacteria; Oceanospirillales; Halomonadaceae. The record is from RNAcentral.
CCUACGGGUGGCUGCAGUGGGGAAUAUUGGACAAUGGGGGGAACCCUGAUCCAGCCAUGCCGCGUGUGUGAAGAAGGCCCUCGGGUUGUAAAGCACUUUCAGUGAGGAAGAACGCCUGGUGGUUAAUACCCAUCAGGAAAGACAUCACUCACAGAAGAAGCACCGGCUAACUCCGUGCCAGCAGCCGCGGUAAUACGGAGGGUGCGAGCGUUAAUCGGAAUUACUGGGCGUAAAGCGCGCGUAGGUGGCUUGAUAAGCCGGUUGUGAAAGCCCCGGGCUCAACCUGGGAACGGCAUCCGGAACUGUCAAGCUAGAGUGCAGGAGAGGAAGGUAGAAUUCCCGGUGUAGCGGUGAACUGCGUAGAGAUCGGGAGGAAUACCAGUGGCGAAGGCGGCCUUCUGGACUGACACUGACACUGAGGUGCGAAAGCGUGGGUAGCAAACAGGAUUAGAUACCCCUGUAGUC